RNAcentral lists this long non-coding RNA (944 nucleotides) under Numida meleagris (helmeted guineafowl). Its description in RNAcentral is "lncRNA (ENSNMEG00000014906.1)". Lineage: Eukaryota; Metazoa; Chordata; Aves; Galliformes; Numididae. The record is from RNAcentral.
CUAGUGCCAAAAAAAGUGCAACAAACACAUUUCAGUAUGUGAAAGAUCUUAUCUGUAAUUAAGAUCUGAACGUAAGCACAGGGCGGAGGAAAUAAUUUUGGUUGUGUCCUUUUCAGUAAGUUGCUAUACCUCCAGAUAUUUAUAGCUCAGUAGAAUAAUGAAUAUUAACACUUGUCAUCUCACAUCCAAAGUGUCAUGUUAAAAAGGGGGAUUUGAACUCUAGAGAUUAAUGCAGUGAAAAUUAUGACAACAUUAGGCUCAGUGAAAGAAAAGCUUUGAGUUAACCAUAAAAGGCUCAAAAUGGGUCCAAACUCACGGAAAGUGUCUUUCUUUUUUCAACCAGGCCAUCACAGUCGUUCUGUGCUGCGAGCCUUUGUGUCCACAUCUCAGAACUGGAUAAGGCUUCCUCCAGGAUUCCUCUGCAGACGCACCAUUGUGAGUCCAGAUUGUGCCCAGCUGCUGCAUGGGUACACAAAGAGCUGAGAAAGCUGCAGGGAGCCUCUUCGUUGUGUGUUCCUGGACAGCAGCCAACCUCCCAUCAAAGGUUGCCCAUUUCUUGAGAAAGCACAGAGCUUGCUCCAUCCCCCAGCAAUGCCUCAAGCCAAAGGUGUCCAAAUGGAGACAGAAAGGGUAUUUCCAGUGCCCCGGUUUGCGGGACAGAGUGUACAAGGUGGGGAGCGAAAUCUGCACUGCUAGAGAAGCUCUCUUAGCUCAACAUUUUUGAGGGAGCGAAAUGUCUCCAGACAGAACUUUAUUCUUUGUCGAGAUGUGUUGAUAGUAUUUGUCAGUACUCACUAACCUGGGACUGGAGAGUGAUAGAACAUUGAAAUGUGGGAUUUCAGAAAGAGGAAAGAAAACAUGUUACUAAUAAUGCCUUUGAGGCGUAUUUCCUCAGUAUAAAAAUAUAAAAUAAAAAUACUUCACUGGCAAAAAAAAGAGGCUAA